RNAcentral lists this ribosomal RNA (253 nucleotides) under uncultured bacterium. RNAcentral describes it as "partial 16S ribosomal RNA". It matches the Rfam family "Bacterial small subunit ribosomal RNA", at positions 524 to 776 of the family's 1533-position model. The record is from RNAcentral.
UACAGAGGAUGCAAGCGUUAUCCGGAAUCAUUGGGCGUAAAGAGCGUGUAGGCGGUCCGGUAAGUCCGCUGUGAAAGUCGGGGGCUCAACCCUCGAAUGCCGGUGGAUACUGUCGGGCUAGAGUGCGGAAGAGGCGAGUGGAAUUCCUGGUGUAGCGGUGAAAUGCGCAGAUAUCAGGAGGAACACCUAUUGCGAAGGCAGCUCGCUGGGACGUAACUGACGCUGAGACGCGAAAGCGUGGGGAGCAAACAGG